This 2191-nucleotide long non-coding RNA is filed under the name Piliocolobus tephrosceles (Ugandan red Colobus). Its description in RNAcentral is "lncRNA (ENSPTEG00000018429.1)". The record is from RNAcentral. Lineage: Eukaryota; Metazoa; Chordata; Mammalia; Primates; Cercopithecidae.
UAUCUACCCAUCUAUUUACUAUCUACCUAUCUAUUUACUAUCUAUUUUUUUCUAUUUGUUUUUUUUGUUUUUCAGAUAUGUUCCAUACUAAACGAAAUAAGCAAAACCAUCCGAGAAAUACAAAAUGCGAAAAACUUUCUAUCGUUGCACUUUUUUCUUUUAAAGGAUGAGGAUGAUGCAGUAAGUAUACACAUACGUCCAUACAUACGUCCAUUCAUACGUCCAUUCAUACGUCCAUUCAUACGUCCAUUCAUACGUCCAUACAUAUGCGAACAUACUUAUUGUGCAUUCCUUUCCUUACUCUUGUAUAGCUUUUUUCAGUCAUGCACAUAAUCGAUUUUUUUAAAAGCAAGAAUAAAUUGGUAGAAACGUUACAAAAUAUAAAAGACAAAAUUUAUGAAGAAUGUAUUAACGAUAUCAUUAGAAAGAAAAUUGACAACUAUAUUUUAUUUUGCAAACAAAAAAAACAAAAAUAUGAAGUUAAAAAUGUUUUAAAGUUUUUGAAUAUAAACAACUUAACAGAUGAUUUAUAUUUUAAUUAUAAUUAUAACGACUUAAUAAAAGUUUUCAAAAAAAAAGUGGAAGAGAUAAAGAAUGAUAAAAUGGGUACUUCUAUUAUUUCUAGUUCCUUAUUGUCAAGUAACAUGGAUACAUCACUUUUUAACAAAAUGGAAGAAUCGAUGGAUGUUAAUAAAAAUGAUUAUACAGGUACUAAUACUGGAGAUGGUACUAUUAUUGGCUCAGAUGCUAAUACCAGUGCUGGUGCCGAUAUCGAUGCUGACGAAAUAGACAUAGAUAAUAAUGACAAUUUAAAAGAAUUAAAAAAAACAUAUAAAGAGUUACAAAAUUUCAAUGAAUAUAUUAUUCAAUUUAUUGAAUAUGAACCAAAAUUAUAUUAUUUUAAUGAUAAUAAUAAUAAUGAUAAUAAUGAUACUUAUAUAAAAAGUAACACAGAUAUAAAAUAUGAGAAAAAUAUAAUCGAACAACAAGAAAAAGAACAAAAACAAAAGAAAAUGUAUAAUGAAGAAGUUAUAGCUAUGCGAAAGGAUAUUGAUAAAUAUAUAGAAAAAUAUAAAAGUAAACAUUCAAAUUUAGACGAACUUAAAAAUGAAUUUAUAGAUCAAGCAGAUAAGAAUUUUAAUAAAUUUUUGAAUAGUUUUUCACUUAGUGAAAAUAUAAAUGAGCAAAGAGAUAAAAAUGAAAUAAAUAUAACAAAUAAAUUAAACAAAAUAGACAAUAAUACGGUUACACAAAAAGAAGAGAAAAAUAUAAUGUCACAUUCUAAUGAAAUAAACAAAUUCCAAUUAAAAAAAUUAAAUACAAGUGAAGAAGAUUUAGAAAUAACUAGUGAUAUAAUUUAUGAACGGUUAAGAAAAAAAUUGUUAUAUUUUAUUCAAAAGAUGGAGUAUAUAAAAUUUAAGUACCAAAAUGACAUAAUAAAUGAAAUGUACCCAUUAAAUAAAAGUGAAAAAACAGUUUUAGACUUGUUAAAAUAUGGGUAUAAAACUGUUGUUUCACCAGAUGUUGAUAACUCCAUAUUCCAAAAAUAUAAUGAAAACGAUCGUGAUGCUGAUCAUGGUACUGGUCAUGGCACUGAUCAUGGCACUGAUCAUGGUACUGGUCAUGGCACUGAUCAUGGCACUGAUCAUGGCACUGAUCAUGGUACUGAUCGCUAUGAGCACAUGCACGAAAAAAAUAAAAUAACAAACGUUUCUAGUUAUACCAGAAAAAAAUAUUUUGACUUCAAGUGUCUAAAGUGUGAUUAUCACAUUUUUAAUUCAGGUGAUGAUUUGUAUGAACAGAUGAAGGAAUGUCCCCAGUGUAAAAGUCAAAUUUCACGUGACUAGUUUGUCCUGCUUAUUUACUCCUUUCCUUACAUUUGCCCUUUUUUGCUUCGUUUUUUUUUUUUUACUUCGUUUUUUUUUUUUUGCUUCGUUUUUUUUUUUUUGCUUCGUUUUUUUUUUUUUACUUCGUUUUUUUUUUUUUUGUUUCGUUUUUUUUUUUUUGUUUCGCUUUUUUUUUUUUUUUGUUUCGCUUUUUUUUUGGGCACAAUUCUUAUUUAAUUUACAAUUUCACUUUUGAAUAACAAAAACUGAAUGUCGUCAUAAAUGGCGAACGUACCAGAUACAUGUAUACGUGUACAUCCCAACCAUCCAAUAAAUCCAUAAAAACAACUUACCCGACUUGUUAA